Molecule: long non-coding RNA, 2087 nt
Organism: Tachysurus fulvidraco (yellow catfish)
Lineage: Eukaryota; Metazoa; Chordata; Actinopteri; Siluriformes; Bagridae
Exons: 2
Source: RefSeq, a predicted model, not a curated record
GUAUGGUGUGUGGUUAGCAUUUCAUUAGUGUGCACUUGCACAAGAUUGUAAACCUAAGCAAAAGUUCAUUCAAAACCUCAUUCAAAAGUUCAAAUCAUCUGCAAAGGAAUUACAAAGCAAUUUUAAAGCAAAUCCUUUCUCUACUUGAGUGACAGCUAGACAUCAACAACAAACAAGUCCUCGACAAUCACAGACUUUUCUAGUCAAAAAAAAAAAAGAGAUGAACCCCAGCUAUGUUUGUGUGCACGCGUGACCGAAGACGGCAACAAAGAGAAAGUGAUCAUAUGCGUCUGAGUAUUAGACGAGCAUGUUUGCAAAGCAGUCACCGUCAGACAAUGUCUUUUGCUUUUCAACAACUGCUGAGUCAUCAUCUAAAAAUAACCCUGAGAGGAGAGAUGAGGAGUCAGACAGUUAGUAAAUAACUGACAGAUCACUUCUAUAGUCCCUGAAAAGUGGCACUGAAAUCACUAGGCCAUGUACAGAGGGGGGGAGAGAAUACUGCAGUGUGUAAGUAAUUACACAGUGACAGACGAGCACAGAGGUUAUGUGAGAACACAGGAGCAGCAGACAGUUAACAUGACACAACAGGUCAUGAACUGCAACUACAUCCCAGUUGCCACAACAGAGUCCUCCCUAUCAUUAUAAUGUUAAUUGCUCUGCAGUUAGUAAACAAGCAUGUACUCAUUUAUUCUCCAAGUUUCAGAUUCUCCAGCAGACAACCUCUGAUCUCUAGGCUUUAUGAGCAAGCUAAAAAGCUACAGCACACAAACUGGUUCCUUACCCUUCUCUGAAGGUAAACAGCAUUCAUCUCAUCUCCUAUGGUUCUCAGCUGGACUGCCACUCUGCCCACCACUUGUUCCUCCUCCACAGACUCCUCUUCAGCCACAGAGCCUCGGCGGCUUGACUGAGCCGAGGAACUACUGCUCUCUGUUAGAUGAUUGGGCAAGAGCUGAGGCAUCCUGCUGGGACAAGACCUCUCCUGCUCCGUCCCUGAAGGAUAAACAGAAAAGAAAUUAUCACUGUCAGAGAGUUCCAUCUUAUUCCAUAAAGACCAGGGAGACUUUGUAAAUAUGAACAAGGCUCCUCAUUCUUUUGGGCUUCUGAACGAACAUCGGCAUACCAUACAGAUGUUCCAUCUGUCUCUAACGCAAAACAUUUCUCCAAUGGAAAGACAUUAUUUCUACAGGACACUAACAGGACUUUGCUGACCCAAGUAAACAUCCACAGCUUCAACAAUCAACCUCUCAAACCUUCAUAAAUCUUCCCCCUAGUAAAACAAUUUCAACACUCACAUCAUGAUCUGUGUAUAAUCUAAUAAUCUGCUUAAAGUGCUCAAGUUUAGAAGUCAAGUGAGUCUUUAAUUUAACCAUGCAUUCUUAAUUGAAUGACGUCUUGAUUUAAAUGUUCUUUACUUUCUUUAUUAGCAUGCACAAAUAGCUCCACAUGACGUGGAAAUGCAUGUGUGUGGGGCUGAGUUCUGCUAAUCCUUCAAGCAGGUGACUGAACAGAGCGAGUAACACUGGGAGAACAGUGGUGUUCUGGCUUGUUGCCAGGGUAACUGUAAGCCCAUGCAGCCUGAGAUGAAAUGCAGUCAUUGGUGGACAGGAACAAGGGCCGGGCUGUGAUUGGAUGGACAGUGUGUGUGUGUGUGUGUGUUAGGGGGGCAGGCCAAAAGCCUGCAGCUUUUAUAAAGGAGGUGCCAAAAAAAACAGCACCGAAGGGUUCAGCUGAGGCUACAAAAGCAAUGACGAUCUGUGGAAAUUUUGGGAAGAUUUAGUAAAUAAUGAGUGUCUGACCAAAACAACGCAAGACCACUGCUCAGUGCGGCAUGAGCAUUCUGAUACUGUAUGUUGAGUUGUGCUCAGCAGGAAGCCACGGGACAAGUUGCAACAUGUCCUUUUUUCUAAUGCAAGACCACAGAGGGGCAAAAACCACUUGAACAUGAACUAUGGUCAUUGUCACAAACACCUGAAAUGCUUUUUUUCUGCAUUUUAUUAAGACUUGGGGGUCAAACAUGGUCAAGCAUGCUGUAAAGCAUACUGUAGUCACACUGCUGGUGAAGUUUACAGAAUAAAGGUUAAAAAAUA